AACGAUUGAAGAAUCAGUCGUACCUAUGGGUAAUCAGCCUUUUGGGUGUGAUUUUGUGGAGCGUGAGGAGUUAAACGCCUUCAUGCCUGCAUAUUCGUGCACUUUGGGUGUACUUGCCCGUGUGGUUGGUUAACAUCAAUUUUGGUGGUCAUAAAAUGACUGGAGGAAUGUAGCUUCGAUCUCGUAUUGAAGUGUUAUAGCCUUCGGUAGAUGUGAUGAUCGAGAUUGAGGAUUGCAACGGAUACCCUUCGGGGCUACCUGUCUGGUCUCUGAUCGUUGCUCUGGUGCCGAAAGCUUGCUUACGGUUAUCAAAGUCGAUGGUCAAUAGGUUAGAACGGGUUAAA
This 344-nucleotide ribosomal RNA is filed under the name uncultured Glomeromycotina. RNAcentral describes it as "eukaryotic LSU rRNA". Lineage: Eukaryota; Fungi; Glomeromycota. The record is from RNAcentral.